UAAUAGCGUAUAUUAAAGUUGUUGCAGUUAAAAAGCUCGUAGUCGGAUGUCGGGCUCGGGGAGGCUGUCGGCCUUCGGUCGGACGGCAUGUCCGGGCCUUUCUGCCUGGGGAUCCUACUCUACUUAACUGUAGGGUAGCGGGACGCAGGCCGUUUACUUUGAAAAAAUUAGAGUGUUCAAAGCAGGCCUACGCUUGAAUACAUUAGCAUGGAAUAAUGGAAUAGGACUUUGGUCUUAUUUGUUGGUUUAUGGGACCGAAGUAAUGAUUAACAGGGACAGUUGGGGCCGUUUAUAUUUCGUUGUCAGAGGUGAAAUUCUUGGAUUUACGAAAGAUAAACUUCUGCGAAAGCAUUCGGCAAGGAUGUUUNCAUUGA
This 374-nucleotide ribosomal RNA is filed under the name uncultured eukaryote. RNAcentral describes it as "partial 18S ribosomal RNA". It matches the Rfam family "Eukaryotic small subunit ribosomal RNA", at positions 592 to 976 of the family's 1831-position model. The record is from RNAcentral.